This 7638-nucleotide long non-coding RNA is filed under the name Homo sapiens (human). Its description in RNAcentral is "HSALNT0281092". The record is from RNAcentral. Lineage: Eukaryota; Metazoa; Chordata; Mammalia; Primates; Hominidae.
CGAGCCUCGUGCUCUUCUCGAAUUUUCUUCCUUCUCAAUUUUCAUCUCGUGAGUGUAGCAACAUGAAUUAUAGCUUGUCAAGCAAUACAUUUUCUCAGCGUUGAGAAGAUUCUGCUCCAUUUUUUCUGAUUAUGGAUUCUGUUCAGAAGGAAGCCGAAUUUUAAGUCAUCGUUCUAGGAUAGAUUCAGCUCCAUUUUCUCUGGUGGUAGAUCUCCAUGGAUGCUAUUGAGAAGGUACUUCUCAAAGUCCACGAGGACAAGGACAUCUUUCCACCGAAUGCCACCUGGUUUAUAACAAAAGCAUGAAAAACAAACAGGAAUUUCUCAAUGCAGAAAGGACUGAAGCUGUCAAAGGUGUGCUUUUUUUCUGCACAAACAAGUUUCCAUUGAAUGAUAGAAUAAAGAGAUACUGACUUCCCCGGAGCCUCCAAACUUGAGUAGUCAGGUGUACUUAUUGGAGCUGACCAGCCUUCACAUGCUGGGUUUGAGAAUGCCUGGACUCUGCCCGUCAAUUCUCUCCUUCUGGGGAAUAUGUUUGAAGCAGGCAUUGGGAUCCGUGGAAGGCUUGUUAAAUCCAAAUAGAUUGGUCCUACUCCAUCCGCAGAGUUGCUGACGAGGUGCGUCCAGGCCUUCUCCUCACCUCUCAGGGAGAUAUACCAUGCAGUGCCUUCAGUUAUGGUGUUGUGACUGAGGAUGCUUCGGUCAGACAUGUCCCUGAAAACCUGCAUAGAGGAAUCUCUUGCCCCAAGUUUCAUUCCAAGUAUUUAAAUUGGAAUUGAGCAUCCUGUCAUGCCAGGGAUGAGAAUGCCUGGGUUACAUCAGUUAGCCCUCUCCUCUUGAGGAAUGGCAUAUUACCCAUUUUAGUUUAAGAACACAGAUGAAAAAUCACCAAGUAAAAAAGGAGCAUAGGGAGGAAUCCAGGAGAAACCAGGCUCAAGCUUCCAGCCACCCUCUUCCAGUGGAGUCAAGUGCACUGCACUUAAUUCUCCCAGCCAGGUGUGCGGCCACCUGUGCCAAGUGUUCCCAACCAGCUGCACUUCAAGGGAAGUUAUUGAAUAUGUCCUAUCCAACUAAAACAAGGAAAUGAUGAAAAAAAUAAAAUCACUUUCCAGAGGCCUCAGGGCUAACUGGAGACAGAGCUCAGACUGCAACUGAGAAAAGUUGGACUCCAAAACCUGUACUCUGAGCUUUACUGCAUGAGAAAGUUAUUGAAAUGUGCCUUGUGACAUUCAGAAUAAGUGACUUUUCAGAGGUCUCAGAGUCAGUAAGAGACAGAACUCAGAUUGUAACCAAGAAGAGCUGAACUCCAAACUUCUGUGUCCGGAAUUGGUGGGUUCUUGGUCUCACUGACUUCAAGAAUGAAGCGGCAGACCCUCGCGCAUACCUGCCAUGCAAGAAAUGUGAAAAGUUCUUCGGAGAGAAGGAAAAUUAUAUAGGUCAGAAACUGAGACCUACAUAAGGAAAGAAGAGCAUUGGAUGAAGAAGAAAUAAAUAAAGAUGCAAUGGAUUAAGACUCUUGACUAGAAUAAUCUGAAGCAUUCUGCGUGAAUUUGUGACCAAAGAAACCAAAAAUCAGGCUACCUUUGACAAUGUCAAAUUACAGUGAACUGUGGAGUCGAUUAUACCUCUCAUAUUUCUUUAUUAUGUUAAAUGCUUAAUUAUUUGCUUGAUUCUGUCUUUGUCAUAGUCCUUUAUUACAAUGACGUCUUAUUUAAGUAAAAGAAUUCCAAAUACAUAGAAAACAAAAGCAUUUGUUUUAUUUCAAAAUAAUGAAGAAACAUAAUAGGUUAUACAACUUUUCAAGAGACCAUUAUGCUGUUAAAUCAUUUAUAUAUCUUCUCUUUAUUUGGACUCAGAAAAUAUGGACAUUAUAAUGCAAAAAGUUACUGAAAAAUCAAUGUCAGCAUCAUCUGAACUCUUUUCCCCUAAUCUAAUCUAGGCAUUUGGAUUACCCAUUUCUAAGCACAUCAGUGGUUUUUGAAUGUCAGUAGCACCCUGCUUAAUCAAUAAGCCUUUAUUUGGCUCAAUGAACUGCUGAUACGUACUUUUACAUAUUCAAAAUCUGUCCCUCAGUAUGGAUACUAACUAGAUCUUUUUUGAAUGAGAAGGUCAGGUCAGGCUCCCCCUUGGCAAUGAUACCAGCUCCCUCAGAUUCUCAUUAAUGGAACCAUGUGCUCACUGAACAAAGAAUGCUUACAGAAAAAAAAAAGAAUAUUGACGUCAGUGUAUAUUAUAUUCCUUAAAAAUAUUUAUAAACGAGCAUUCGUUAUAGAAGCAAGGAACAUGACAGCUUAUUGAUUAUGCAAAUAUGUUCCUUGUACGCUUUUAAAAUAAAUCAAUUAGUGCAAGAGUUGGCAAAGUCUUCCUUAAAGGGCAAGAUUAUUAAAAUAUUAGGCUUUGCUGGCCAUUUGGUCUGUCACAACUAAUUAACUCUGCUGUCGUAAUGGGAAAACAGCCACAGACAAUAUGUGAAAUAAUGGAUGUGGCUGUAUUUCAAUAAAACUUUGUUUAGAGAAACAGGUGGUGGGACAGUGUGUUGAUCCCUGAACUAAUGGGAUAAAAUAUAACUUAAAUAUAAUAUGCAUGUAUGUACAUAUGUUUCUGUUUACAAAAUAGAAUUGAGUGUCUCUUUCAGCUAAUUGAGCACCAUAAUGUAAACCUACAAGAGGUACGAGAGAAUUUCGUAUAUGUAUUUGAAGUCUUGACACUGCUAAAUCUUUUGUUUGUAAUUGGCAUGCCAUGUUGGAAGACAUAAUAGAGAAACUGUCUAUCCAUGCGUCCUUUACUUAAGAAAACUAAACUCUUCUCUGAAGUUAUGUGGUAUAGAUUUUUCCUAAAGGAAGCCAACCAGUUGAAAGAUCAAGCUAUGCAUUAACUCAUCACACUUUAAAUAAGUAAAUAAAUAAAUAACUCACCUAGUUCAUUGUUUGGAUGGUUUAUUGGAUGUGAGAUACUUCAUACUGUCCUGACACAGAGUUUAUUACCUAUGUAAGAGAAGGCACAUAUGGUUAGGUUUCAAGAGAUAUUCUAAUUGUUUCCUGUGGUGAUGUUUGAACUCUACAGUCAAAUUCAGAUGCAUUUAAUUUGGUAAGGUAGACAAUUGGUUAAAUGUUUGGUGUCAAAGUAAGAAAUACAUAGUGAAUUGAUGGAGAGGAAUGUUCUUAAAGUGGUCUAUACAGAUUGACCCUAAAAUCAACCUCACCUUUAUAUCAACCUCGUCUUUGAAAAGAUUGCAGCCCCAAGGACUUUGAUUAUUUUUCUUCAUGACCUCUCUGGGUACCUGAUAAUAGGAAUAGACACACGAAAAAAAACCUGAUAAUGUUACUCUGGUGUAAUCACAACUACUUCUGCUCUAUUAAAACUACCAUGCGAUAUGACCACUUUUACAGUCAUUUGUUAACUUUCUCUUUUAUCAUCAAAGUUGUACUGCACAUACUCAAAACUGACAGCUACAAUAGAGUGGCCCAUAUAUUCUCUGAGAUCAAGACAGAAACAUUACUCAUCAAAUUCUAAUCUAGUGUCACAUAGGAGAAAUACAACUAGCCAGUGAGACUCUCACUGCUAUCUGGCUCACAGAAACAGAUAGAGCAACUUCUCAUCUAUUAUUGAAGCAUUGCAGAAAUUGUGGUGCAGUGUAUGUGCCUACACUAUAAAGUAGCUAGGCUUGCACUUUUUAUGUGUGUUUGGCCAUAUAAUUCAUCUGGGCCUAGUAUCAACUCAGGACAUGGAUAUACUUUUUAAAGUAAUUGAGUAAUGUAUAUCUUUAAAAGCAAUCUCGUUAGAGCUUUAGGACAUUUCUAACAAAGCAAUGAAAUGUAGAGAUCUUAAUACAUUUCUAUGACUAUGAAUGUAAAUAAUAUAUGUUAUUUAAUAUUUUUCACAUGAAAAGAAAAUACUAACCCAGAAUGAAAAUGUAUCAAUAAUCCUGAGUAAAUUAAUCUAACAACAAUGAAUGUUUUGUGGUGCAUAUUUGGCAAAGCCUUCAAAUUUGUCAGACCUUUACAAAUCAUUUUCUUAUGUAGAGUCAUUGCUGUGUUUUGUAAUAAAUUUUGAAAACUGGCUUUAUGGAAUAAAAUAAAAAGCAAAUUUAUUAACUUUUUUGUAAAAGCUUUUCAAUGGUUUCACUAACUAUUUAAAAACAAAAAUAAAUAACCUUUGAGAUUGCUAUAUCAUUGAGAUUAUUUUAAAAGUCUCUUGAAAGUACUUAUACCUUAUUUGGUAUUAUAAAGAGGUUUCUAUAAAAAGUUACUUGUAUUUUGUGUCCCAAAUAAUUCAACAACAUAUUUAUUCAUUCUGCAAACAAACGAUAGCUGUUCCCUAAAGCAAUAUUUAUUAGAAAACUUAGGAAACCUGAGCAAAAUAUUGACUGAAGACAAACACAUUUAUAAUCAAUUAAAGAUAAAAAAGUUAACUUUUUACAAGAUGGACUAAAGAUUUAAAUGUAAGACCUCAAACUAUAAAAAUCUGAGAAGAAAACUGAGUAAAUACCCUUCUCGGUGUGAGCUUUGGCAAAAAAAAAAAAAAAAAAAAUUAUGGCUAAGAACCCAAAAGCAAUUGAAACAAAACCAAAAAUUGACAAGGGAGCCUAAUUCAACUAAAGAGCUUCAGCAUAGCAAAAAGAAUUAUGAACAGAAUAAACAGGCAGCCUACAGAAUGGGAGAAAAUGUUUCCAAGCUAUACAUCCAACAAAGGUCUAAUAGAGCCUAGAAGGAACUUAACAAGCAAAAAACAAUCCAAUUAAAAUGUGGUCAAAGGACAUGAACAGACACUUCUCAAAAUAAGACAUGCAGGUGGCCAACAAACAUGAAAAAAUGCUCAUGAACACUAAUCAUCAGAGAAAUACAAAUUAAAACCAAAAUAGAAUACCAUCUCACACCGGUCAGAAUGGCUAUUACCAAAAAGUCAAAAAAUAACAGAUGCUGGCAAAACUGCAGAGAAAAGGGAAUGCUUACACACUGUUUGUGGGAAUGCAAAUUGGUUCAACCACUGUGGAAAGCAGUUUGGAGAUUCCUCAAAGAUUUGAAAACAGACCUACCACUCGACACAGCAAUCCCAUUACUGGAUAUAUACUCAAAGGAAAAUACAUCUCUCAACCAAAAACAAACAUUCACUCAUAUGUCUUUGUCAGUGCUAUUCACAAUAGCAAAGACGCAGAAACAAUAUAGGGACCCAACAAUGGUGGACUGGAUUUUAAAAAUGUAGUACAUAUACACCAUGAAAUACUGUGUAGCCAUACAAAGAAUGAAAUAAUCUAUUUUGCAGCAACAUGGAGGCAACUGGAGGCCAUUAUCUUAAGAAAAUUAACUCAGGAACAGAAAAUUAAAUGCUAUAUGUUCUGAUAUAUAAAUGGAAGGUAAACAUUGAGUACAUGUGGACUUAAAGAUGGGAGCAAUAGAAACUAAGGACUACUAGAUAGGAGAAGGAGGGAGGUGAAUGGGCUGAAAAACAACCUAUUGGGUACUGUCUGGGUGGGAUCAUGUGUACCCCAAACUUCAGCAUCACACAGUAUACACAUAUACACACAUAUAUACACACAUAUGUAUAUACACAUAUAUGUAAUAUAUCAAUACACAUAUAUGUAAAUGUAUGUGUAUAUAUGUAAAUAUGUAAAUAUAUGUAUAUAUGUGUGUGUAAAUAUAUGUAUACAUGUAUAUGUGUGUAAAUAUAUGUAUGUAUACAUAUAUGUAUAUGUGUGAAUAUGUAUGUGUAUAUGUAAAUAUAUGUAUAUAUACAUAUGUAUACAUGUAAAUGUAUGUGUGUACGUGCAUAUGUAAACACACAUAUGCAUAUAUGUAAAUAUAUGCAUAUGUAAAUACAUAAAUGCAUAUUUAUGUAAAUACAUGUAAAUAUGCAAACACACAGAUGCAUGUUUAUGUAAAUAUAUGUAAAUACAUAAUGUGCAAAGCGCAUGUAUAUGUAAAUAUAUGUAAAUAUGCAUAUAUGUAAAUGUGCAUGUAUACACAUGUAUGCAUGUAAAUGUGUAUGGCUAUAAACAUACGCAUAUAUGUAAAUAUAUACGUAUAUGUAAAUAUAUGUAAAUAUAUUUACAUAUAUACAUAUUCACGUUAUGCAUAUAUGUAAAUAUAUUUACAUAUACACAUACAUAUUCACACAUAUACAUAUAUGUAUACAUACAUAUAUUUACACACAUAUACAUGUAUACAUAUAUUUACACACACAUAUACAUAUACAUUUACAUAUAUGUAAAUUGAUAUAUUACAUAUACGUAUAUGUAUAUAUUUACAUAUCUGUAUAUAGAUGUAUUUACAUAUGCAUAUAUGUAUAUAUUUACAUAUAUUUACAUGUAUACAUAUAUGCAUAUAUAUAUAAAUAUAAAUACAAACCUGUCCAUGUACCCUCUAAAUCCAAAAUAAAAGUGGGGUAAAAAGGCUUAACUUUUCACAGAUUAUCUUCAAAGUGACCACUAAUGGAUAUACUUCCACACACAGAAAAAUAAACCCAGAAAGAGGAAAUUGAAUGAAAGAAGAAAUGACGAAAGAGAAAAUGGUUAAAUCUAAACAAGUUGUGAGGCUGGCACGGUGUCUCACGCCUGUAAUCCCAUCACUUUGGGAGGCCGAGGUGGGAAGAUCUCUUGAGACCAGGAGUUUCAGUCCAGUCUGGCCAACAUGGUGACACUCUGUCUAUACUAAAAAUACAAAAAUUAGCCGAGUGUGGUGGUGUGUGCCUGUAGUCCCAGUUACUUGGGAGGCUGAGGCAGGAGACUCACUUGAACCCAGGAAGUGGUGGUUACAGUGAGCCAAGAUUGCACCACUGCGCUCCAGCCUGGGCGACAGAGUGAGACUCUGUCCCAAAAAUAAAUAAAUAAAUAAAUAAAUAAAUAAAUAAAUAAAUAAAUGUAAACAUGUGAGAUUUUAAAAUAUUGUAGUAAAGUUUGGAAUUGUUUAAAAGCAAAACUUAAUGAAAAGACUAGGAAAAAUAGAGGGAUGAAUGGUAGACGAUAUUUGAAUAAAUUCUGUCAUGUAAGGGAUGAGAAAAAUCAUGGGCGCACUCUAAAUUUGUGAAUUAAAUAUAAAAUUAAUAUGGAUGUUUAAUGUUAAGGACCUCGAUUAAAACGGAAUAAUAGAAUGCGGGAAGAAAAUUAAUAUGAAACCAAAGCAUGACAAUUUUUUAAAAUAGUAAAAUAAAUACAUAUAUUAUAAAAUGAGAAUUAUAAAUUGAUUAAAUUCAUUCAUUAGAAGACAUUAAGAAACUAGAGUCUUGAAAAUUAGAUGUGUGUGGCUUAUUAAGAGAAACCCCAAAAGCAAACUGACAGAUACAUUUGAAUCAUCAGGGUUGGAAGGCAAUAUGUAUCUGACAAACUAAACAAAUAGAAGAUAAUAAGAUAAUAUGUAAUAUUACAUAAAAUACAAUUUCACAUGCCAAGAAUCCAUAAUAAUAAAACUAAUGAUAACUAUAAUAUAAUAAGAGCCAACAUUUAUGAUAAAUACAUGGCAAUUAUAAAUUUGUACAAAGCUAAGAGCUUAUCUUCAAAAUAUAUAACAUGAAAUAGCAUUAAAAAAGUAUAAUAAAAACAAAAAAAAUUAAAAAAUGAAAUUUUAAAUGUGUUACCCUAUUUGAAGGUUUUAAGAAAGUUUUCUUAGAAUAUAAUAUAUUGUACAUAAAUAAGCAUAAAUAUAGG